This 72-nucleotide transfer RNA is filed under the name Camelus dromedarius (Arabian camel). It matches the Rfam family "tRNA". From Rfam's summary of the family: Transfer RNA (tRNA) molecules are approximately 80 nucleotides in length. Lineage: Eukaryota; Metazoa; Chordata; Mammalia; Artiodactyla; Camelidae. The record is from Rfam by way of RNAcentral. RNAcentral also lists the same sequence under 1 other name.
GAGGAUGUAGCUCAGUGGUCGAGCGCAUGCUUAGAAUGCACGAGGUCCUGGGUUCAAUCCCCAGCACCGCCA